UGGGGAAUAUUGCACAAUGGGCGCAAGCCUGAUGCAGCCAUGCCGCGUGUGUGAAGAAGGCCUUCGGGUUGUAAAGCACUUUCAGCGAGGAGGAAGGUGGUGAACUUAAUACGUUCAUCAAUUGACGUUACUCGCAGAAGAAGCACCGGCUAACUCCGUGCCAGCAGCCGCGGUAAUACGGAGGGUGCAAGCGUUAAUCGGAAUUACUGGGCGUAAAGCGCACGCAGGCGGUUUGUUAAGUCAGAUGUGAAAUCCCCGGGCUCAACCUGGGAACUGCAUUUGAAACUGGCAAGCUAGAGUCUCGUAGAGGGGGGCUAGAAUUCCAGGUGUAGCGGUGAAAUGCGUAGAGAUCUGGAGGAAUACCGGUGGCGAAGGCGGCCCCCUGGACGAAGACUGACGCUCAGGUGCGAAAGCGUGGGGCAGCAAACAGGAUUAGAUACCCUGGUAGUCCACGCUGUAAACGAUGUCGAUUUUGGAGGUUGUGCCCUUGAGGCGUGGCUUCCGGAGCUAACGCGUUAAAGUCGACCGCCUGGGGAGUACGGCCGCAAGG
RNAcentral lists this ribosomal RNA (550 nucleotides) under uncultured bacterium. RNAcentral's name for it is "partial 16S ribosomal RNA". It matches the Rfam family "Bacterial small subunit ribosomal RNA", at positions 355 to 893 of the family's 1533-position model. The record is from RNAcentral.